RNAcentral lists this long non-coding RNA (763 nucleotides) under Mus musculus (house mouse). RNAcentral's name for it is "predicted gene, 47865". Lineage: Eukaryota; Metazoa; Chordata; Mammalia; Rodentia; Muridae. The record is from RNAcentral.
GGGGAAACCAAAUCGCAUAAGGAGCUCAUUGUCACUUUGCAGUACAUACCAUGAAUGAAGCCACGGAAGCGAACACAGGGUAGCUCCUUAAGCUGUCGAUGUCGGUUUUCCUGGGUUUCUACCGCCACAGAAUUCUGUUCUGCUGAGCAAGACAGGAAGUCCUCUGAGCUGAGAAAACUUCAAGAAGAGAAAUUUUCACUGGAAUAAAUUCGACAGAAAACAGUAUCCAUUUAAGGAAAUACCCGCAAAGAAAAUGCUGUCUUUCCCCUCCUAUUGGAUGGGUCAUUCAUCUCUAAUGCAAAGGUCUCUACAUGCCGCCUUAACAUAAAACAGGUUAGAGCCACUGGGACAUAAGACCUGCUGAGAGGCAAGUGCAGAACUCCAUUUCCAUUAUCCACCUGUGCAGCCAGCCAGGCCUUCAGGCAGGACCCCUCCUCUCUGCAGUCUGAUAAUGUAAAAGAAAGCCAGGCUUUACAGUAAUUCAAGGAACUUGGACUGCAACCCAGUUCUUGGGAAGAGCACUUGUCUAGAAUAUACCUCCUCCAAAAGAAACGAAAGCAGAGGGUGUUUUGAACAAAAAGGAAAACUCUGCCUGGUGGAACUUGGUGAAGACUGAGCGGGAGUAACUAUGCACAAAGGCAUGGUUGUGAGUGAAGAGCCCUCCUGGCUCACCAAUGGAUGCUCUGUGGCUGAGAGAAUGAAAUGGGAGAAUAUUUAGAGGCAGUCCAAGACGGCUGCAAGGAUUUUUCCACUCAAGUUCCCU